Molecule: non-coding RNA, 73 nt
Organism: Parelaphostrongylus tenuis
Lineage: Eukaryota; Metazoa; Nematoda; Chromadorea; Rhabditida; Metastrongylidae
Source: the annotation of a GenBank genome assembly
GCCUCGGUGGUGUAAUGGUAUAGCACGCGCCUCCGACUAGGAUAAAACGCGGGCUCGAUUCCCGCCUGAGCCC